Molecule: ribosomal RNA, 433 nt
Filed under: uncultured bacterium
Lineage: Bacteria
Description: bacterial SSU rRNA
Rfam family: Bacterial small subunit ribosomal RNA
Source: RNAcentral
UCGAGGAUCUUCGGCAAUGGGCGCAAGCCUGACCGAGCGACGCCGCGUGUGCGAUGAAGGCCUUCGGGUUGUAAAGCACUGUCGAGGGGGAGGAAAGCCGAAAGGUCUGACCUAUCCCUGGAGGAAGCACGGGCUAAGUUCGUGCCAGCAGCCGCGGUAAGACGAACCGUGCGAACGUUGUUCGGAAUCACUGGGCUUAAAGGGCGCGUAGGCGGGCGGUCAAGUCUUUUGUGAAAUCCUUCGGCUUAACCGGAGAAUCGCUGGAGAUACUGGCCGUCUCGAGGGGGGUAGGGGCAUGUGGAACUUCCGGUGGAGCGGUGAAAUGCGUAGAUAUCGGAAGGAACGCCGGUGGCGAAAGCGACGUGCUGGACCCUUUCUGACGCUGAGGCGCGAAAGCCAGGGGAGCAAACGGGAUUAGAUACCCCCGUAGUCC